UGGGGAAUAUUGCACAAUGGAGGGAACUCUGAUGCAGCGACGCCGCGUGAACGAAGAAGGCUUUCGAGUCGUAAAGUUCUUUUAUAUGGGAAGAUAAUGACGGUACCAUAAGAAAAAGCCCCGGCUAACUACGUGCCAGCAGCCGCGGUAAUACGUAGGGGGCUAGCGUUGUCCGGAAUCACUGGGCGUAAAGGGUUCGCAGGCGGAAAUGCAAGUCAGGUGUAAAAGGCAGUAGCUUAACUACUGUAAGCAUUUGAAACUGCAUAUCUUGAGAAGAGUAGAGGUAAGUGGAAUUUUUGGUGUAGCGGUGAAAUGCGUAGAUAUUAAAAAGAAUACCGGUGGCGAAGGCGACUUACUGGGCUCAUUCUGACGCUGAGGAACGAAAGCGUGGGUAGCAAACAGG
RNAcentral lists this ribosomal RNA (403 nucleotides) under bacterium. RNAcentral's name for it is "partial 16S ribosomal RNA". It matches the Rfam family "Bacterial small subunit ribosomal RNA", at positions 355 to 776 of the family's 1533-position model. RNAcentral also lists the same sequence under 2 other names. The record is from RNAcentral.